Molecule: ribosomal RNA, 518 nt
Filed under: Sticta filix
Lineage: Eukaryota; Fungi; Ascomycota; Lecanoromycetes; Peltigerales; Lobariaceae
Description: partial large subunit ribosomal RNA
Rfam family: Eukaryotic large subunit ribosomal RNA
Source: RNAcentral
GUAACGGCGAGUGAAGCGGCAACAGCUCAAAUUUGAAAUCUGGCCUCUUCGGGGUCCGAGUUGUAAUUUGUAGAGGGUGUUUCGGGCGCGAUGCCGGUCUAAGUUCCUUGGAACAGGACGUCGUAGAGGGUGAGAAUCCCGUAUGCGACCGGCGAUCAAGCCUGUGUGAAGCCCCUUCGACGAGUCGAGUUGUUUGGGAAUGCAGCUCAAAAUGGGUGGUAAAUUUCAUCUAAAGCUAAAUAUUGGCCAGAGACCGAUAGCGGACAAGUAGAGUGAUCGAAAGAUGAAAAGCACUUUGGAAAGAGAGUCAAACAGUACGUGAAAUUGUUGAAAGGGAAGCGCUUGCAAUCAGACCGGUCCGGAGGCGAUCAGCCGCUGCUCGUCAGCGGUGCACUCGCCUGCGAUCCGGCCAGCAUCGGUUUGGGCGGUGGGAUAAAAGUCCCGGGAAUGUAGCUUCUUUCGGGGAGUCUUAUAGCCCGGGUCGCAAUGCCGCCCGCUCGGACCGAGGACCGCGCUUC